UGUGGUUGUGGCAUAGGCCAGUGGCCACAGCUCCAACCCCUAGCCUGGGAACCUCCAUAUGCCAUGGGAGCAGCCCAAGAAAUGGCAAAAAGACAGAAAAAAAAAAGAACAAAGAAGAACAGAGAAAAUAGAGCAGGUCACAUAGUAAGGAAAAGUGAUGCUCUAUGAAAUUUUUGUUUUGAAUAUAUAUAUAUAUAUAUUCCAAAUAUAUGUAUGGGGUCUCUAUGAAAAGCACUUAUAUUUCUUACCAUGAGUUACAGUGUGAACAAAAUAUGUUAGAACUGCUCUGUAUUCACAUAUAUUUAUCACUGCUUUCAGAACCUGGAGCAAAAUGCUCCUCCUCCAAGGCCAUAGAAUCUUAGAGCAAGAGACCUAGAGGUCAUCUGGUCCACUGACCCCCAAAAUUGGUGCCCCGAAGCUUCAUGAGGUUCCCCUAGGAAAUUCAUUAAAAAUGCCAAAUCUUGGAGGUCCUGCUGUGGUGCCACAGGAUCAGCAGCUUCCCUGGAGCUCUGGGACACAGAUUCAAUCCCUGGCUCAGCACAGUGGGUUAAGCAUCCAGCAUUGACACAGCUGUAGCAUAGGUUGCAAGUGGGGUGCACAUCUGAUCCCUGGCCCAGGAACUCUAUAUGCUUGGGGGCGGCCAAAAAAGAAACGAAACAAAAUAGGAAUUGGCAAAGUGGAUUAAAAAAAUAAAAAUAAAAAAAGCCAAAUCUUCAGGCCCAGCCCCACAGGUUUAAAUUCAUUUGAUCCAAAAAUGUAUAUUUUCUGAUUCUGAGUUUGGGGAAACCACUGAUCUAACCUACUUUCUUAAUUUGACAUUGCGCGGCAGCCAAGGUCGCAAAGCUCAUUAGUGGCAGCUCUGAGACGCUCUAUCCCUUGCCCUUCUCCAUCUUUCCACUCAGCGGGUCUCCAGGGAAGGCCUAAGCGGUGGUCAUGACCUGGAACGCAUACAGUAAAAUGAUCUGAAAUGGUUUUUUAAAAUAUGGGUAGCCCGCCCCCCCCCCAAACCAUUUAAGGUACAGUCUCUGUGGGUAGUCGUGAGUAUCUGGCCUUCUGGGAGUGUCUCUCAAACUUCGAUGUACAUAUCACUCCCCUAAGGGUCUUACUGUUUCACUUCCAAGGUCUGGGUAGGGUUUUCUGCAUUUCAAAACAGGCUCCCCUGCCCUCCACCCCACCCCGACCACCACGCCCCUUGCCAGUCUGGGAGCCAGACUUCUCGCAACAGGACCUUAAGGUGUAGCCCCAGGUCCCCAAAACCUGCAAGCUUCCACACCUCUGCCAGCAUCUCACUUGCCUGCCUCAGUUUGUACUCUCUGGAUGUGCAUUUGCUUACCACUCAGCAGUGAUUUUCCACUGUUUCGUUAAUCAAAGGUUGGCUUCCCUAUCUAUGAGUAUCCUUCCCCCUUGCCCCCCACCCAACCUAUCCACCUAGGCCUGUGCUGUCCUCAAGGUCCGUGGUAAAGGUGACUAUGCUGUGACCAGCCCUGGCUUAGCUCCACCCAUCAGUAAACAGAGAUGGCAGGCCCACACCCACAGCCUUUCCUGGGACAGCUUGCUGUCCUGUAAGGGUGGCAGAGCAAGUCACUCACUGCCUGUUGUGAAGAGGUGUUGUGCACUGCCUGUGGUGCACGGAGCCAAAUGGCCUGUGUUCACAUCCCUGCUCUGCCACUAGCUGUGUGUACUUGGAGAAAUUACUGAGCCUGUUUCCCCAGUUAUAAUAUAGGGACAAAAAUAGUACAUGAUCUAUAGGGUUGUUUUGAACGUUAAAUGAGUUAACAGAUGUAAAGUGCUGGCACACACAGUAAGCUGUAUGUUAUAGAAGUGCUGGUGUUUUGUAGUUAUAGAAGGAGGGAAUUGAAAAUGGUAUCAUCAUAUGCUAGAGUUUGAAGUAUUCAUUGAAUUGGAUGCUCUAGAGACAGAUAAGUCCUUCCCAUUGGUGGGAACAGCAUGGGCAAAGGCACAGAGGCAGACAUCAAGAACCAGGAGUUUAGUUUGAUGCCGCUACAGGGAUGCCUACAGGGAGCAGUGGCUGAUGGGCUUAGAAUGUCAGUGGGUACCAAACUAAAGAGUUCAGAUUUUAUUCUGGAAGCAAUGGAGAGCCAGUCCUGGAGGAUAUUUAAAAUGUAUAUAUUUAGGAGGUCCUGCUGGGGUGCAGUGGGAUCAGCAGUGUCUUGGGAGCCCUGGGCCGCAGGUUCUCUCUCCAGCCCGGCACUGUGGGUUAAGGAUCCAGCUUUGCCACACCUACAGCUUAGGUCAUGACAGCAGCUUGGAUCCAAUCCCUGGCCCAGGAACUUCAUAUGCCGCAGGUGUGGCCAAAAAACAUAUCUUUUUUUUUUUUUUUUCCACUGCACUUGCAGCAUGUGAAAGUUGAGACCAGGGAUCAAACCUGCAUCACAGUUGUGAUUUGUGCCACGGCUGAGGCAUUGCCAGAUCCUUAAUCCACUGUGCCACAGUGGAACUUCCUAAAUCUAUCUUUUCAGACAAAAGUUGCAAUGUGGUGUUGCUCUGAGCAGAAUGUUACAACCACUCCCCGCGUUCGGGUAAUCACGGUUAUUUUCUUCGUCCCUCCUCUUGUCCACCUCGUGAUGUUGAUCCAAGCUUCUCAUAUUGUCUGAGUGAACAUUCAGUUCAAUGAAGUGACCUUGGGCCAAGUCGCCAAAAGGGUCACAUAGCGUGGAAUCCAUCUAAUCACUGGAGCUCACAGCCCAGAGCCUCUGGGCCACUCUGCAGUGGAAUCUUGUCACCUCCCAGCCAUAGAGCCCUUAAAAAGACCAAGUGCCCUAAUUAAGAGCUUUGAGCAGGAACCUGCAGCUCCCACAUGGUUGUUAAUUCUUUCCCCGUCUCUUAAUUCUUAAUCCAAGAAUAAUAUACUCAAAUGGUAGGCUUUGUCUAAACUCACACACACACACACACACGAACACACGUACUUGGCGUUAGGCAGCAGGCAGAGCUUCAUGCUGCUUUGUGACUUAGUGGCAAGUUGCCUAACGUCUCUGUACACCCAGGAGUAAGGAAUUCAUCUGUAAUAUGAAGGUCAUUAAGAGUCCCUAUUUUAUUGAGUUGUCAUGAGGGUUAAAUGAAUUAGUACAAGCACAGCAGUUAGAAGCGAGUGUCUGGCACAGGGUCAGUGACCAAGAAGCACUAGCUAUUAUUAUUAUAAUGGAGGAGAUUGGAAUAGCUCAAGGUCUGCCACUUUAGAAUGAGAAAGAAAAUGUAAUUACCAAUUGGGAAGGAGUAAAAGAAUCCUAAAAACAUUUUAUGUGAACAUCUGUGGCAGUAAAUUUGAAAAUCUAGAAGAAAUGGGGAAUGUCCUAACAAAAUAUAAAUGAUAAAAAUCCCUCCAAAGAGGGAGAACACCUGAGUAGACCAAUAAUCACAGAACACUUUAAAUAGAGUGUAUUAAAGAGACACCCAUUUUAAAAGCCUAAAUGGUCUUAUAACUGGAUACUGUCUAGUCUUCAAUACCUAGUAUAGCCUGUCUUAUUCAAACUCUUUCAGCCUGGAGAGCAAGAUGGAAAAUUUCCCUCAGUUCAUUUUAUGAAACCAGCAUGACCUGCAUAUUCAAACCUCAAAAGCACAUGUCUCUUCUCUCUCAAAAGCUUUGAGGGAAAAGAGGACCCUAACAAAGAAAGACGGGAAAGAAAGCACAAUUUGGUGUGCAGGACGACAGGCUCUUACCUUAAGCAGUAGGUGUGCAACUGGAGGCAUGUAAGAAUCACCUGAACAAAACUGCAACUGACAACACUUAUGUCUUGAACCUAGACAGAAACCAGAUUGGGACUGGAACCCACGGUUUUUUAAAAUUAGAAUUUAAAAAUUCUAAUCACCUGGUUGUCUGGACUUACAGAAGUUCAGGUUCUUUGUGCCUCGGUGCAGGAGGAAUUCAGCAAGAGACACAGGGAUAGGCAAGAAAUAGAUUUAUUGAGAUAAAAUGCUGGCAAGAGAUGCGAGCAGGCAAGCAAGGAAGCUCUGCCCCAAGGAUUAGGCGGGCUACAUUUUUAUAAUCCAAGGAAAGUGGGGAGCGGGAAAAGACUGCCUCUUCUUCCUUCUUUGGGUAGAUGUCAGGCUUACAUCAUUAGCUCCUCCUUUGUAUCCUGUAAGAGAGUAUUUGACCCUAUGAGGUCAAACUAGGACUGACAUGGUGCUUAGUCAAAUCAGCAGAAGGGUGGUAACAGAUGCUAAAAUAUGUUGAAUCCUCUCAGGUUUCCGUAUAAUGAGGGUCAUUCUUCAUUGGGAGGGUCAUUCUUCCCUUAAAUUCCUGUCCUUGGUCCUAUGGAUCAUCGUCUUGCUGAACUUGAAUCCAGGCCUCAUUGUAUCUUUCAUUUAAUAGCCUGAGGCAUAUCUUGUGCCUUUAUUUGUGGUUUUCUAAUUAAGCAAGCCUGCUUCAUUCUGAUGGCUUUCUUGAGCAAAUAAUAACUUCCAGUGAGAUCAAAGUUCCCUAGGUUUCCCUCCCUAUCUGUGGUCCCCUACUGGGACCUCUACAACUACCUGUGUGACUGUCCUACUCCAUCCCUAUCAAAACCAGACUCCACUCCCAGAGAGCUUGAUUUCAUUAUUCUGGGGAAGGGCCUGGCUAUAGAUAUGUUUUCAAGCUCCCCAGAACCAUCGCUUUAAGGUAACUGGAAAUCACAGAGGCCCACAAGCCUGGUUGUGAUUCCAAAGCCUUCCCACCUAGCAGCCAGCAUAUCGAGGAGAGACUUUGUCAGUCCUUUAAUGUGACUGGAGCUAGAAGAGGUAGCUGUUAGCCACAGCAUGCCAAACUUCCUGUCAGAGCCUAAGGGUUCCACAAAGCUGCAGUGUCCUGGCCUCAGAGGCCAAAGACCUAGCCAGGAACAGGAGUGUUCUUAUUUGUGAGUUCUGAGCCAGCAACCUUGCCUGCUGCCAAAGAAGGCCAGGAAAGCCCACAGAGCACUGUAAUCUCUGGAAUCCAAUGGGAUUUUAGUGACAGACCUGUUCGUGAUCAUGCUGCAAGGUCACAGAGCCCACGUGGUGAACAGUUCCAAGAAUAAAUGAUUAGCAGUGUGUGCAAUUCUUAGCUCCUCCAUUCCACAGUUCCUGGAGUCAGCACCACCGUGGACAGCCUGUAGCCACUCGUGGCUGAAGCCUCAUCAAAGCAUCAAACCGUCCUGUAAGCACCAUAGAGGAGGGGGAGCUGUCCGGGGUCCCAUCCUUCCAGCAACUGGGAUUCCCUAACCAGGCACUCUAGGCUCCUUUCCAACCAACCAUCCUCCUCAGAACCUAAGACAACUGUGUUGGUUUCAUCAAAUGUCCUCAGCCCCCAUCUCAGUCAUCAAUCUCAUGUCUAUCCCCUGUUUCAUUAAAUAAUAUUCAUGAAUAAUAAGGCAACUUGAAGCAUUCUUACCAUGAGAUAAUAUAAAAAUAGAACAAAUGAAUAGAUAGAUUGCUGGCCCAAGUUUGGUUAAUUGAUAUAGGAGGGUUCCUAUUGUGGCUCAGCAGACAGGAAUCCAACUAGUAUCCAUAAAGAAGUUUGAUCCCUGGUCUUGCUCAGUGGGUUAAGGAUCCGGCAUUGACGUGAGCUGUGGUGUAGGUUACAGAUGUGCUUGGAUCUGGCGUUGCUGUGGCUGUGGUAUAGGCUGGCACCUGUAGCUCUGAUUGGACCACUAGCCUGGGAACUUCCAUAUGACGUGGGUGUGGACCUAAAAAGACCAAAAAAUAUAUCUACGUAUCUAUAUACCACGUAUAUAUAUGAGCCAUGCAGACUGUCUUCCUCUGUGCAGCGGGCCACCUCCAUCCACAACGGCACAUUUCACUGGGUUCUCAGAGUCGCUCAUCAUUAAACAAACAAAAGAAAAGGCGAAAAAUGCCAGGGACUAAUGGUGAAAUGGUGCAAUGUCUGGUGUUUGCUCUAUAAUAUUCCCUAAAAGGAACAGUUGGGAGGUGGACAUAGAUACAGGAGGAAUGGCAAAAUAUGAGUCAUUGAUACUGGGUGGUGGGCACAUGUCUGUUUGUUACACUGUUCUCUUUUUGUAUGUUUGAAAUUUUCCCAUAAGAAAAAAGAAAAGGAUAGAAGGAGAGACAACAUGUUGAUAGGGCUGUGCGUCCAUGGGCACAUAACUGGCAGAAGGUUCCAGACCAAGGAGUUCCCGUCGUGGCUCAGUGGUUAAUGAAUCCGACUAGGAACCAUGAGAUUGAGGGUUCGAUCCCUGGCCUUGCUCAGUGGGUUAAGGAUCCGGUGUUGCCAUGAGCUGUGGUGUGGGUCACAGACACAGCUCAGAUCUGGCGUUGCUGUGGCUCUGGCAUAGGCCAGUGGCUGCAGCUCCAAUUGGACCCCUAGCCUGGGAGCCUCCAUGUGCCGCGGGAGAGGCCCCAGAAAUGGCAAAAAGACAAAAAAAAAAAAAAAAAAAAAAAAAA
RNAcentral lists this long non-coding RNA (6372 nucleotides) under Sus scrofa (pig). RNAcentral's name for it is "lncRNA (ENSSSCG00060068473.1)". Lineage: Eukaryota; Metazoa; Chordata; Mammalia; Artiodactyla; Suidae. The record is from RNAcentral.